This 465-nucleotide ribosomal RNA is filed under the name uncultured bacterium. Its description in RNAcentral is "partial 16S ribosomal RNA". It matches the Rfam family "Bacterial small subunit ribosomal RNA", at positions 28 to 507 of the family's 1533-position model. The record is from RNAcentral.
GACGAACGCUGGCGGCGUGCUUAACACAUGCAAGUCGAACGGAAAGGCCCUGCUUGCAGGGUACUCGCGUGGCGAACGGGUGAGUAACUCGUGGGUGAUCUGCCCUGCACUUCGGGAUAAGCCUGGUAAACUGGGUCUAAUACCGGCUAGGAGCCAUUUUUAGUGUGAUGGUUGGAAAGUUUUUUCGGUUUUGGGUGAGCUGGCGGCCUAUCAGCUUGUUGGUGGGGUAAUGGCCUACCGAGGCGGCGAAGGGUAGCCGGCCUGCGAGGGUGGACGGCCACAUUGGGACUGAGGGACGGCCCAGGCUGCGACGGGAGGCAGAAGGGGGGAAUAUUGCACAAGGGGCGCCAGGCUGAUGCAGCGACGCCGCGUGGCGGAUGACGGCCUUCGGGUUGUAAAAUACUUUCGCUAGGGACGAAGCUUUUUGUGACGGUACCUAGAUAAGAAGCACCGGCUAACUACGUG